UACGUAGGGACCGAGCGUUGUCCGGAUUCAUUGGGCGUAAAGAGCUCGUAGGCGGCCACUCAAGUCGAAUGUGAAACCUCGAGGCUUAACCUCGAGCCUGCAUUCGAUACUGGGUGGCUAGAGUCUGGUAGGGGGAUCUGGAAUUCCUGGUGUAGCGGUGGAAUGCGCAGAUAUCAGGAGGGACACCGGUGGCGAAGGCGGGAUCCUGGGCCAGUACUGACGCUGAGGAGCGAAAGCGUGUGGAGCGAACAGG
Molecule: ribosomal RNA, 253 nt
Filed under: uncultured bacterium
Lineage: Bacteria
Description: partial 16S ribosomal RNA
Rfam family: Bacterial small subunit ribosomal RNA
Source: RNAcentral